RNAcentral lists this unclassified non-coding RNA (306 nucleotides) under plant metagenome. RNAcentral's name for it is "partial contains 5.8S ribosomal RNA, internal transcribed spacer 2, and large subunit ribosomal RNA". The stretch from base 1 to 105 matches the Rfam family "5.8S ribosomal RNA", at positions 50 to 154 of the family's 154-position model. The record is from RNAcentral.
GAAAUGCGAUAAGUAGUGUGAAUUGCAGAAUUCAGUGAAUCAUCGAAUCUUUGAACGCACAUUGCGCCCCUUGGUAUUCCAUGGGGCAUGCCUGUUCGAGCGUCAUCUACACCCUCAAGCUCUGCUUGGUGUUGGGCGUCUUUGUCCCACCUCCGCGCGCGGACUCGCCCCAAAUUCAUUGGCAGCGGUCCUUGCCUCCUCUCGCGCAGCACAUUGCGCUUCUCGAGGUGUUGCGGCCCGCGUCCAGAAAGCAAUCGUUACCGUCUUUGACCUCGGAUCAGGUAGGGAUACCCGCUGAACUUAAGC